Molecule: long non-coding RNA, 443 nt
Organism: Microplitis demolitor
Lineage: Eukaryota; Metazoa; Arthropoda; Insecta; Hymenoptera; Braconidae
Exons: 3
Source: RefSeq, a predicted model, not a curated record
CAUCAUUCUUUCAUACUCUGCUAAAUUAACAUAGCCAAAUCAGUAUUUGACGUUUAAAAAUAACACUGAGUCCUAAUAAUUUCAUACAUUGACUCAUAAAAUAAAAUUAUUCUUUGUAUUAAACAAUAAAUUCAUUUUAAUUAGGAAAUCAGGUUUCCAAAAAGAAUAAUCCAUUUAAGAAAAUGAAUCGUUCGAUAUCAAUUGUAAUUUCUGCAAUAAUAAUGAUUGUUAUAUUAUUACACAAAUGCACCAAAGCAGCACCUUCUUUUUGUAUGCUGAAAAUAUGUUCGUAUACACCUCACUCAAUACCUCGUACGAAUAAUGACUAACUUAUCUCAUCACAUUCCAGCAGAGUCAUAAGUCGAUGUUACCUGAUCAUUCGUGUACAUGUGUGAAAAUGUAUUUGUAGUAAAAACAUUUGUAAAAAAUGAUAAAAAUAUAUU